Molecule: ribosomal RNA, 2900 nt
Filed under: Klebsiella pneumoniae
Lineage: Bacteria; Pseudomonadati; Pseudomonadota; Gammaproteobacteria; Enterobacterales; Enterobacteriaceae
Description: 23S ribosomal RNA
Rfam family: Bacterial large subunit ribosomal RNA
Source: RNAcentral
UUAAGCGACUAAGCGUACACGGUGGAUGCCCUGGCAGUCAGAGGCGAUGAAGGACGUGCUAAUCUGCGAAAAGCGUCGGUAAGGUGAUAUGAACCGUUAUAACCGGCGAUGUCCGAAUGGGGAAACCCAGUGCAAUUCGUUGCACUAUCGUUAACUGAAUACAUAGGUUAACGAGGCGAACCGGGGGAACUGAAACAUCUAAGUACCCCGAGGAAAAGAAAUCAACCGAGAUUCCCCCAGUAGCGGCGAGCGAACGGGGAGCAGCCCAGAGUCUGAAUCAGCUUGUGUGUUAGUGGAACGGUCUGGAAAGUCCGACGGUACAGGGUGAUAGUCCCGUACACCAAAAUGCACAGGUUGUGAACUCGAAGAGUAGGGCGGGACACGUGGUAUCCUGUCUGAAUAUGGGGGGACCAUCCUCCAAGGCUAAAUACUCCUGACUGACCGAUAGUGAACCAGUACCGUGAGGGAAAGGCGAAAAGAACCCCGGCGAGGGGAGUGAAAAAGAACCUGAAACCGUGUACGUACAAGCAGUGGGAGCACCUUCGGGUGUGACUGCGUACCUUUUGUAUAAUGGGUCAGCGACUUAUAUUCUGUAGCAAGGUUAACCGUAUAGGGGAGCCGCAGGGAAACCGAGUCUUAACUGGGCGUUAAGUUGCAGGGUAUAGACCCGAAACCCGGUGAUCUAGCCAUGGGCAGGUUGAAGGUUGGGUAACACUAACUGGAGGACCGAACCGACUAAUGUUGAAAAAUUAGCGGAUGACUUGUGGCUGGGGGUGAAAGGCCAAUCAAACCGGGAGAUAGCUGGUUCUCCCCGAAAGCUAUUUAGGUAGCGCCUCGUGAAUUCAUCUUCGGGGGUAGAGCACUGUUUCGGCUAGGGGGGCAUCCCGACUUACCAACCCGAUGCAAACUACGAAUACCGAAGAAUGUUAUCACGGGAGACACACGGCGGGUGCUAACGUCCGUCGUGAAGAGGGAAACAACCCAGACCGCCAGCUAAGGUCCCAAAGUCAUGGUUAAGUGGGAAACGAUGUGGGAAGGCACAGACAGCCAGGAUGUUGGCUUAGAAGCAGCCAUCAUUUAAAGAAAGCGUAAUAGCUCACUGGUCGAGUCGGCCUGCGCGGAAGAUGUAACGGGGCUAAACCAUGCACCGAAGCUGCGGCAGCGACACUAUGUGUUGUUGGGUAGGGGAGCGUUCUGUAAGCCUGCGAAGGUGUGCUGUGAGGCAUGCUGGAGGUAUCAGAAGUGCGAAUGCUGACAUAAGUAACGAUAAAGCGGGUGAAAAGCCCGCUCGCCGGAAGACCAAGGGUUCCUGUCCAACGUUAAUCGGGGCAGGGUGAGUCGACCCCUAAGGCGAGGCCGAAAGGCGUAGUCGAUGGGAAACAGGUUAAUAUUCCUGUACUUGGUGUUACUGCGAAGGGGGGACGGAGAAGGCUAUGUUAGCCGGGCGACGGUUGUCCCGGUUUAAGCAUGUAGGCUGGUUAUCCAGGCAAAUCCGGAUAAUCAAGGCUGAGGUGUGAUGACGAGGCACUACGGUGCUGAAGUAACAAAUGCCCUGCUUCCAGGAAAAGCCUCUAAGCAUCAGGUAACAUCAAAUCGUACCCCAAACCGACACAGGUGGUCAGGUAGAGAAUACCAAGGCGCUUGAGAGAACUCGGGUGAAGGAACUAGGCAAAAUGGUGCCGUAACUUCGGGAGAAGGCACGCUGGUGUGUAGGUGAAGUCCCUGCGGAUGGAGCUGAGACCAGUCGAAGAUACCAGCUGGCUGCAACUGUUUAUUAAAAACACAGCACUGUGCAAACACGAAAGUGGACGUAUACGGUGUGACGCCUGCCCGGUGCCGGAAGGUUAAUUGAUGGGGUUAUCCGUAAGGAGAAGCUCUUGAUCGAAGCCCCGGUAAACGGCGGCCGUAACUAUAACGGUCCUAAGGUAGCGAAAUUCCUUGUCGGGUAAGUUCCGACCUGCACGAAUGGCGUAAUGAUGGCCAGGCUGUCUCCACCCGAGACUCAGUGAAAUUGAACUCGCUGUGAAGAUGCAGUGUACCCGCGGCAAGACGGAAAGACCCCGUGAACCUUUACUAUAGCUUGACACUGAACAUUGAGCCUUGAUGUGUAGGAUAGGUGGGAGGCUUUGAAGCGUGGACGCCAGUCUGCGUGGAGCCAACCUUGAAAUACCACCCUUUAAUGUUUGAUGUUCUAACGUUGGCCCCUUACCGGGGUUGCGGACAGUGUCUGGUGGGUAGUUUGACUGGGGCGGUCUCCUCCCAAAGCGUAACGGAGGAGCACGAAGGUUAGCUAAUCCUGGUCGGACAUCAGGAGGUUAGUGCAAUGGCAUAAGCUAGCUUGACUGCGAGCGUGACGGCGCGAGCAGGUGCGAAAGCAGGUCAUAGUGAUCCGGUGGUUCUGAAUGGAAGGGCCAUCGCUCAACGGAUAAAAGGUACUCCGGGGAUAACAGGCUGAUACCGCCCAAGAGUUCAUAUCGACGGCGGUGUUUGGCACCUCGAUGUCGGCUCAUCACAUCCUGGGGCUGAAGUAGGUCCCAAGGGUAUGGCUGUUCGCCAUUUAAAGUGGUACGCGAGCUGGGUUUAGAACGUCGUGAGACAGUUCGGUCCCUAUCUGCCGUGGGCGCUGGAGAAUUGAGGGGGGCUGCUCCUAGUACGAGAGGACCGGAGUGGACGCAUCACUGGUGUUCGGGUUGUCAUGCCAAUGGCACUGCCCGGUAGCUAAAUGCGGAAGAGAUAAGUGCUGAAAGCAUCUAAGCACGAAACUUGCCCCGAGAUGAGUUCUCCCUGAGACUUUAAGUCUCCUGAAGGAACGUUAAAGACGAUGACGUUGAUAGGCCGGGUGUGUAAGCGCAGCGAUGCGUUGAGCUAACCGGUACUAAUGAACCGUGAGGCUUAACCUU